Oncorhynchus tshawytscha (Chinook salmon) is the source of this 6607-nucleotide long non-coding RNA. NCBI's taxonomy places the organism in Eukaryota, Metazoa, Chordata, Actinopteri, Salmoniformes, Salmonidae. The record is from Ensembl.
AACAUUUUUCAUACAUUUUAUUUGAAUUGAUUUAAAAAUUGAAUAUGGCACCAUAAAUCAACUGAAUAUGGUUAAUAUUUUACAGCUUCAUAAGUGAGUGAGUGGCCAGCGAUAUUAACACUCAGCUUCAUUAUCCAGAACUAUUAAACAAUCAACUAAUGGCGCAAAGGAAAUCAUUAACAUUAUUACUGUACAUUAGGGGUGAGGGAGUAUCAUAUUAGGACAAGGAAGGGUGAGAAGGGAAGGGAACAUUCAGAUAGCUAUUAAACACGUGUAGACUUAUGUACAUUCCAACUGUACCUCAUCCAAAUUACAUAUCAUGUAUACUAUAGAGAUAUAUACAAUUCAAAUAAUACGUUUUUAACAGACAAUAUAUCGACCGUAUUAGGAGCCAUGAGGCACAGCGGAUGAGAGCAUAAUGAUUCGAUUUACAUACUGACGCAACUGAAAAAUGAACACCCUGUACACUCGUAAGAAAAAAAAGGUGCUAUCUAGAACCUUAAAGGGUUCUUCGGCUGUCCCGAAAGGAGAACCCUUUCAAAGAACUCUUUUUGGUUCCAGGUAGAACCCUUUGGUUCCAGAUAGGGCUCUUUUGGGUUUCAUGUACAACCCUUUCCACACAGGGUUCUAAGUGGAACCAAAAAGGGUUCUCCCUGGAACCAAAAAUGGUUCUCCUACUGGGACAGCUGAAGAACCUUUUGGAAGACUGUACAUUGCUGCAUAUACAUUUUCCACAAAAUAGGUUUUUAUAAUUUGUAUUCUGUUUGUCCAUUUGAAGAGAUAUUUCAGUGAAGUCACACCUACAAUGGUUCAAAAUGGUUCAUUCCCUCAAGACAAGACUUUGAAUAUGUUUCAAUAACAAUUGCCCCAGAUAUCUGGAAGAGGUCCAGAUGUUUCCAAUACUACACUGCAUGUUGUAGCAGCUGGUCUCACAGUUUCUCCCUACGGUCAGUCUGUGUCCCUUUUCACUCAUCACUCAUUUACACGUUGAGACAAAAUGGAUGCCGAACACACAUCAGCACUUCAUUGUUUGUCAGUAAUGGAUUUUUUUCUCUACAGAUUCAGCAGGGUACUACUUGAUUCUCCUCUUCGGCUGAUCGUCAGUCUCACAAAGCCCAAACAUGCAACAGAGUUUUAAAAAAGUGGGACAGUUGAGUGUACUUUAGUUCAGUUUUAAAUGUCACACAGCAGUGGUCCGUUCUCUCAGAAUUGCAUUUGUUUUCUCAUUUACUUAACGAUGAUUCUUUCUUUCCCACCUUAAUAUUGUCACUCCAAUAAACACAUGUUCAAUCUGGAUGCAGUACUCAUCUAACACAUACUGAUACACUGUUCAAUUCUAGAUUUUGUACAACAAUAUAAUAGAUAUAGCUUUAUAAAACGUGAAACAAAAUGUACAGUAUGAUGAUCAUAUUGUGUUUACACGUGUUUAGGCAAAAAUAGAUGUUUGUCUUGUAAAUAUUUAUCUUUCAGAGUGUGUCUUUGGAAGCCACUUGCUUUUGAGACACUUUUCAAACAGGGAAUGUGAGGUGAGGACAGAAGCAACAUUGUUUAUUGAAUCCUUUAUUGUUUCUUACCCCCCUGAAUGCAAUGUGUGGUUUGUGUUUCUAUGCGGUUGUCUUUAUUCACAGAUGCCACUUGGUGCUUUGACAUGCUAAGGGUCUCUUAUAGAGCAAAGCACACACACACACACACACACACACACACACACACACACACACACACGCUCUCUCUCUCUCUCUCUCUCUCUCUCUCUCUCUCUCUCUAUUGUACACAGACAGACACACAGACACAUCAUGCCCAUAGGGGCAUGUGCCCCAUCAGAUUUGGCCUGUUUAAUUAAUAUAUAUAUAUAUGUGUGUGUGUGUGUGUGUGUGUGUGGUUGUCGUUGUUUUCUCUGUAAUACUACUAGCCACCUAGCAAUUCUAUAAAGUUGGUUUUAGCCCAGAUAGGUUCCCAAUCUCCCAACCUCAUAAAUAACUACCAUGAAGCCAUUUCAGGCUAUCAAGUUAGAGUAGCUAGCUUGUCUAACUAUCUUAGCUGGCAUGCCUGCUGGCAAGGUUGGUUGACUUUAGAAAAGCAAGCAUUAACUAAAUGUACUGAAUAAGACUCUUUUACCCAGAUUUUAGCAGAGAUGCAGAGAAGCAUAUUUAGUUUCUUUAAAAAAAGAACCACCUUUCAGGAGGAUACAGACAGCUCAAGAGGUAUGUUUAGAUAUGCAGAAAAAUAGACACAUUUGGACAUAUAAUUAAACAUAAUGAUUAUGUCUCUAGAUUGCAGAAAAAAAGCUGUUUCAGGUGUUUGAAAAAUGCCAAAUUAUCCCCCUUCAGAACCACCCCCAGCCACCUUCACAUAGAUUUUUGGGGUGCAUAGUACCCUGCACACACACACACACACACACACACACACACACACACACACACACACACACACACACACACACACACACACACACACACACACACACACACACACACACACGUUAAAGUACCCUCCAAACCUCCAGGGAUGAAUUAGAUACGUUUUCCCCUUUUACUAAGCCUAUGCCUUCUACGACCACAACGAAGGAGAAAAUAAACAUUUAGACUUUAGAAGAUCUUGUGCUUUUCUACAUCUAUGACUGUCACCCUAAAUUACACCACCAGCUAACAAAGAUGUCAUCUACUGAAAAUAUAAAACAUCCAUUUAAACAUCAAUGAGCAAUUAUAAGAAUGGGUAAUAAGUAAUAAGGCACUUCAAAUUGCUCAGUAUACAAUGUGGCGAUAUAUUUGUCUGUUCAGAUACACUUCACAUACCACAUUGCCUUGGAAACAUGGCUAUAAGAGGCAGAAGCAGCCCAAAUAUCUCAACUGGAAACAGAGACUCAGGAUGCUCCCAUCUCAAUGGGUACUAACUCUCUGCACAAGAACAGACCAAACAACACAGUAACAAUCUAAAUAAAUACUCUUUCACACAUUUGUGAAGUACUCUAUCAAAACAUCACAAUUCUAACUAACUAACUACUAAACCAAAAAAUCCCCAAAAAUCGAAUCAACCACAAUCAUACAUUUAGGGAGAAAUAAAUCUCCCUAAAAAGGUUUAGCCCUUUGAAACAAGCCGUGUGAAGAGGAACCCAGCUAGCUCAGACGACACAUGAUGAUCUGUUGACGCCAUGGAGACAAUGUGUAUGUGAUGAAGGGGAAAUAUAAUAGUGGAAUAAGGCUCUUCGUACGUCGACAAGUGAAUCCACUCAAUGAGAAAUACACCCCCCCCCCCACAUGGACAGAGAGAAUGUCCUGUUGUUACAGUAUGGUAAUAAAAGUCUAGCCAAAAUCCAUCUGAGAGUUACUGUACUCCAUCACCUUGUUUCCAUCAUUCCCUAGACUAUACAGUAGCGUGGGAUUCCUGAAGGACGGGUCAUUUAUUUUGUGGAAACCUUUGGCUGACCCUGUCUGAAAUGGCUGACAGUAUCCAAACAUGGUACCUAAGAUGUGAGAGCCUGUUGCAGACUUAUCAGACCGUACAAAGUGGACAGUGCAGGGUUUCUUUUGUCCUGUUAGUCAAACGACAUGCUGUUGACGGGUGAGGAGUGCUAAAGGGGUGUGAGCUUUCCACUGUGUCUGAAAGCACCAGAAAGAGCAUUCUGCUGAGACACAGUGAGUGACAGCCAUCUUGUCUGGGGGCGGUGAACCCUGUCCCUCCAUUGGUGAUAAAUGGCUGUCACUUUCCGUCAAACACUCGGAUAACUGUUCUCUAAAAAGAGAGAGCACUUACUUUCCUGCUGGUAUCACUCAAACAACAGCUUAGCCUGAGCUGAAUCAGACGUUCCGUUCUGGGAAGCUAGGAGGCUCUUAGCAACACCAACCACUGAGACGGGUGACAGAUGACACCCAGACAUGGGUCCACUUAUCAACCUGACGGAUGGCUGGAUUGUGAACUUGGAUGGGUGCCUCUCGCACACCGCUGAGCUCGUGCAGUCGAACAGAUUGACUGAAUUAUACAUGCCAGGCUUCCAGAGGAUAACCUGUAUUUAAAUAAGGAAGAUUGGAAGGAUUCAGAUGAUCUUCAUCCUCUUCCACUUCCUUUGCCAUCACUAUUUCCAUUAAAAGCAGAAUUUAUUAAUAAUUACUCAUGACCUAAAUGUUGUGUUAUUUUGACGCCUCUAGUGAAUUUGCAGUAGGUUGCGUUGUCUUUUAUCUUUCCAAUAUUGGGGGCGAUGUUAGUCAUAACAAUGUCAGUAAGUGGGAGGAGACACUGGGGGACAAUGUCAGAGAGAGAGAGAGAGAGAGAGAGAGAGAGAGAGAGAGAGAUAGAUAGAUAGAAAAUGCAAAUAUGAUGUUCCUUAUGUUUCACAGGCCUUUAAACAAUGCCCUGAUAUAGUGGACGUCACAGUCACACAAAACGGGAUCAGGAGCAAGUGGGACACUAAGUGGGACGGGAGGGGAGGGGCUGUGUAAACCGAGCACGUAAUAGCCAAUCUUUAAUCUCCAGUAGGUGUUCCACAUCAUUUUAUAAUCUGAUCAGGCUCAUGAUGAGUUUCCAUUAAAGGCCUGUCCCAUAUCUCUCUUUAAGGAGACUGCCUUAAGGGGCUGCUCAAUGCGGGUGUCAUUUGCUGUUAAGCCCCCCUAGCAACCAACGUGGCGACCAUCCCAUGGCUGCUUUAUAUUCAUGACUUAAAUUGGAAUACAUUAGCAUGUUAGAGAUAAAUGGACUGUGUUGGAGAUCAGCAUACGGUGUGGACGACAUAUAUGGACACAAAUAGUAUGGCACAAAACCAUGGGAAUUCUAGUGUCGUAUUAUUUCUAACAUCAUUAGACUGUGAUCUCAAAAACACAUAUAUAAACAUUACAUAUGACUUCAUCUAUAUUCAUGUGUUGAAACACACACACACACACACACACACACACACACACACACACACACACACACACACACACACACACACACACACACACACACACACACACACACACACACACAGAUGUAGAUGAAUUAGUACAUCUAAUAUCGAGUAGCCCUUUUAAUUCACAAGGCCAUGGCCUGUGAUUAUUGGUAUAUAACCCCAUUCUGGGGUAAUAAUAGAAACAUGCACUUGAAAUAACCUCUAAAUCUCCACGGUAUGACACUCUAUCAAUCACUCUACAACCUUGGUAACCCCUACCUAACGAAUACAAACCACCUCUGAUGACAGCAAGACAAAAUACAAUCCUCUUCAAUCUUUCUCUUCAUUAUCAGUCAGGACUGACAUACAACAGGCUCUUGUCACAGGCGGUAACAUCUGCAACACAGCGGGAUCAAAUUAUGUUGAAAAUCCAAUCUCAGAGGAAUAUCCAACUCACCCCUGGAAAAGCACAAGAUCCCUUCCUGUAUAAUUGAAUAGGCUUUGGCUCCAAGCCCCUGCCAACUGCCACCCUCUGAAUGUAUUUACAAGCUCCAAGCAUCAACACACUUUUAGAAAACAGGUUCAUUAAGGGUUCUGAAGCUGUCCCCAUAGGAGAACCCUUUUUGUUGUCCAUGUUGAACUGGGUGGAAAGGGUUCUACAUGGAACGCAAAAGGAUUCUAUUGGAUCCAAAAGGGUUCUACCUGGAACCAAAAGGGGUUCUCACAGGGUUCUCCUACGGUGACAGCCAAAUAACCCUUUUUGGUUCUAGUUAGCACCUUGUUUUCUAAGAGUGUAGACUAUCUGACAAAAAAAACCAUCUUAAUAUACAAUCAAAGAAACAUCAAAUUCAUCAUGUAAUGAAUUGUUAGAGAUCAAAUCUCUGAUCAUCUAAAAUGAUGUGGAAAACAAAUGGCUAAAUAAUGUAAUUGAACGAUGCCUUUUUGGAUGUAUUUUUACAUGAUCUAUUUAUUUGUUUACUUGUGACCAUUUUCCACCUUUUUCUUUGGUGGCAAGAAUCUACUUUUUCAAACAAGUUUCCUAACCUCAGUCCUGCGUUGUGGUGAGAGGUGACCCUGGCCAGGCCUGGUCUCUGUCCUGCUAUACCCUUCAGGGGCCACUUAUGGUCCAUCCCAGGAGGGCUCCCAGCCAUGUUACUCAGUCGUAUAUGAACAUGUCAGAGAGGCAGUUUAGACAAGCUGCUCUGCUUUGUGUGCCGCCAACACAGAGUGCCACCGGCAUACAGAUAACAGUUUGUAGUAUGUACUGUAUGUCCUUGUGCUGUCUUUACUGGCGGACAUCUCCACUGAAACUGUGUGAUGGAUCAUUCUGUCACGCUCAGACUGAUGCACACACACACACACACACACACACACACACACACACACACACACACACACACACACACACACACAUUUAGAUUUUGCGUAUACAUUGAUAUAUACAGGUUUCUUUUUUUUACACUGAAUUUCAAACGGGAAGUUUGUGAAUUCAGUCAGCCCUAUUUUCCCUUAGAAUUUUGUCUUGUGCAGUGCAGAGUUCUCUAUCCAACUGUCCUUUUCAAGUUAGGUCUAUUUGUUCUCCUGGCUGUGCGCUUCUUUGUAAGUUUUAUGUCUCAACAGUUGCAUCACAAAUCUCAUUCAUCAGAGCCAAACCCAACAUGGCUGCAGGAUACAAGUUCUCUUGUAGAGUAAAAACAAAGGAAAGGGACCACAUCAUAAACACGUCUCUCUCUCUCUCUCUCCCCUCUC